UAGCUCAGUUGGUUAGAGCACCACCUUGACAUGGUGGGGGUCGUUGGUUCGAAUC
RNAcentral lists this transfer RNA (55 nucleotides) under Pseudomonadales bacterium. Its description in RNAcentral is "tRNA-Val". It matches the Rfam family "tRNA", at positions 8 to 59 of the family's 71-position model. From Rfam's summary of the family: Transfer RNA (tRNA) molecules are approximately 80 nucleotides in length. Their secondary structure includes four short double-helical elements and three loops (D, anti-codon, and T loops). Further hydrogen bonds mediate the characteristic L-shaped molecular structure. tRNAs have two regions of fundamental functional importance: the anti-codon, which is responsible for specific mRNA codon recognition, and the 3' end, to which the tRNAs corresponding amino acid is attached (by aminoacyl-tRNA synthetases). tRNAs cope with the degeneracy of the genetic code in two manners: having more than one tRNA (with a specific anti-codon) for a particular amino acid; and 'wobble' base-pairing, i.e. permitting non-standard base-pairing at the 3rd anti-codon position. Lineage: Bacteria; Pseudomonadati; Pseudomonadota; Gammaproteobacteria; Pseudomonadales. The record is from RNAcentral.